Molecule: long non-coding RNA, 437 nt
Filed under: Polistes fuscatus (common paper wasp)
Lineage: Eukaryota; Metazoa; Arthropoda; Insecta; Hymenoptera; Vespidae
Description: uncharacterized LOC122514069
Source: RNAcentral
UGCAUAUGGAAAAUUCUUCUAUGCCGUGUCAUCAUCGUAUAACAUCAAAAAACAUUACAUUAAAAAACAUGGAGCAAAGUUAACGAUCUCAAACACGAAAUAAUCAAUAUUUAGCUGAUGCUUCGAUUAUACAUGUAUUGUCUAAUCAAAACAUUGUACCGGAUGAAGAACGGAAUUCGUUAAACCAAGACACAAUCAUGUAUCAGGAAUUACCUCAAUCAGAUCAAUUAUCAUCAAUUUAAACGAGCUCAUAAGGAAUUUAAAAUAAAAUUCUUGGGCAAUUCAUUUGAACAUCCAUGCUCAGUAUGUGACAGAUUGUGGUUUAGAAAGGAUUUAAAAGAGCCAUCUAAUGAACAUAAGGAUAUUCUAAUACAAUUUAUACCUAAUGUACCUAUGAAAAAUACUAAGCCUUGUAAUACAUUCAUGCAAGCUUUAAA